GUGGGGAAUAUUGGACAAUGGGCGAAAGCCUGAUCCAGCCAUGCCGCGUGUGUGAAGAAGGUCUUCGGAUUGUAAAGCACUUUAAGUUGGGAGGAAGGGUAGUAACCUAAUACGUUGCUACUUUGACGUUACCGACAGAAUAAGCACCGGCUAACUUCGUGCCAGCAGCCGCGGUAAUACGAAGGGUGCAAGCGUUAAUCGGAAUUACUGGGCGUAAAGCGCGCGUAGGUGGUUCAGCAAGUUGGAUGUGAAAGCCCUGGGCUCAACCUGGGAACUGCAUACAAAACUACUGAGCUAGAGUACGGUAGAGGGUAGUGGAAUUUCCUGUGUAGCGGUGAAAUGCGUAGAUAUAGGAAGGAACACCAGUGGCGAAGGCGACUACCUGGACUGAUACUGACACUGAGGUGCGAAAGCGUGGGGAGCAAACAGGAUUAGAAACCCGAGUAGUCC
This 450-nucleotide ribosomal RNA is filed under the name uncultured bacterium. RNAcentral's name for it is "partial 16S ribosomal RNA". It matches the Rfam family "Bacterial small subunit ribosomal RNA", at positions 354 to 796 of the family's 1533-position model. The record is from RNAcentral.